Molecule: small nuclear RNA, 141 nt
Organism: Mirounga angustirostris (Northern elephant seal)
Lineage: Eukaryota; Metazoa; Chordata; Mammalia; Carnivora; Phocidae
Product: U4 spliceosomal RNA
Exons: 1
Source: RefSeq, a predicted model, not a curated record
AGCUUUGCUCAGUGGCAGUAUCGUAGCCAAUGAGGUUUAUCCGAGGCGCGAUUAUUGCUAAUUAAAGCAUUUAAUAUUCCAUUUUUGACUAAACAGAAACAGAGUUUAUUCACUCAAGAAAUACUGACUGAACACCUAGUU